Molecule: transfer RNA, 66 nt
Filed under: Neotrogla sp. 5 KY-2017
Lineage: Eukaryota; Metazoa; Arthropoda; Insecta; Psocodea; Prionoglarididae
Description: tRNA-Arg
Source: RNAcentral
UAAUAUGAAGCAAAUUAUUGCAUUCAGUUUCGACCUGAAAUUUUAGUAUUAAAUUACUCUUAUUUU